GAUGAACGCUGGCGGCGUGCCUAAUACAUGCAAGUCGAGCGAACAGACGAGGAGCUUGCGCCUCUGACGUUAGCGGAGGACGGGUGAGUAACACGUGGAUAACCUACCUAUAAGAGGGGGAUAACUUCGGGAAACCGGAGCUAAUACCGGAGAAUAUAUUGAACCGCAUGGGUCAAUAGUGAGAGACGGUGUUGCUGUCACUAAUAGAUGGAUCCGCGCCGGAUUAGCUAGUUGGUAGGGUAACGGCUUACCAAGGCAACGAUGCGUAGCCGACCUGAGUGGGUGGUCGCCCACCCUGGAACUGAGCCGCCGUCCUGACUCCUACGGGAGGGCGCAGUAUGCAAUCUUCCGCAAUGGGCGAAAGCCUUGCGGAGUAAGCCGGCGUCUGUGAUGACGGUCUUCCGAUCGUAAAACUCUGUUAUUAGUGAUGAACCAAUUUGUAAGUUACUAUGCACUGCGUGACGGUACCUGAUCAGAAAGCCCCGGCUAACUACGUG
RNAcentral lists this ribosomal RNA (497 nucleotides) under uncultured bacterium. RNAcentral describes it as "partial 16S ribosomal RNA". It matches the Rfam family "Bacterial small subunit ribosomal RNA", at positions 28 to 507 of the family's 1533-position model. The record is from RNAcentral.